RNAcentral lists this ribosomal RNA (444 nucleotides) under uncultured bacterium. Its description in RNAcentral is "partial 16S ribosomal RNA". It matches the Rfam family "Bacterial small subunit ribosomal RNA", at positions 331 to 792 of the family's 1533-position model. The record is from RNAcentral.
CCAGACUCCUACGGGAGGCAGCAGUGGGGAAUAUUGCACAAUGGGGGAAACCCUGAUGCAGCGACGCCGCGUGAGCGAUGAAGUAUUUCGGUAUGUAAAGCUCUAUCAGCAGGGAAGAAAAUGACGGUACCUGACUAAGAAGCCCCGGCUAACUACGUGCCAGCAGCCGCGGUAAUACGUAGGGGGCAAGCGUUAUCCGGAUUUACUGGGUGUAAAGGGAGCGUAGACGGCUGUGCAAGCCAGAUGUGAAAGCCCGGGGCUCAACCCCGGGACUGCAUUUGGAACUGCGCGGCUGGAGUGCAGGAGGGGCAGGCGGAAUUCCUGGUGUAGCGGUGAAAUGCGUAGAUAUCAGGAGGAACACCGGUGGCGAAGGCGGCCUGCUGGACUGCGACUGACGUUGAGGCCCGAAAGCGUGGGGAGCAAACAGGAUUAGAUACCCGCGUA